AUGGGGGCGCGUGCUAUAAUGACAAACUAUGCUAAGGCAACAAGUAAAACAAGGGGAUGGAGUAGACCUCCUAUGGGUUUUGUGAAACUACAUGUUGAUGCUUCCUUUGAUCACGAUCUGCUUAGGGGCACGGCAGGGGCUGUCCUCAGAGAUGACAAAGGAAGGUUCAUUGUUGGCGGAAAUUGGAGGAUUGAUUGGUGUGCCGAUGUAUUAACAGCAGAAGAACUAGCUCUAUGGUUUGGCUUAAUCCUUACACAGAAGGCGGGUUGCAAUCGCCUUAUUGUCAACUCUGAUAAUAUGGAAGUGAUUGACACAUGGAAAAUGGAGGACAAUCGGCGGAAGCGGCAGAGGCAGUGUUCGACGAUUGCUAUUUUAUAG
Molecule: ribosomal RNA, 378 nt
Filed under: Triticum aestivum (bread wheat)
Lineage: Eukaryota; Viridiplantae; Streptophyta; Magnoliopsida; Poales; Poaceae
Description: partial small subunit ribosomal RNA
Source: RNAcentral